RNAcentral lists this ribosomal RNA (456 nucleotides) under Triticum aestivum (bread wheat). Its description in RNAcentral is "partial small subunit ribosomal RNA". The record is from RNAcentral. Lineage: Eukaryota; Viridiplantae; Streptophyta; Magnoliopsida; Poales; Poaceae.
AUGAUAGCCUACUUUGAAGAGAAAGCAAAAGCAGAUGCUGAUUUCUUCUACAGGAUAAGAUUGGACGAUGAUGACCGUGUCAGAAACAUGUAUUGGGUGGAUGGUGCUACAAUAAGGGCGUACAAACAUUUCCGUGAUUGCAUAUCAUUCGACGCGACAUAUCUCAUUAAUAUGUACAAGAUGCCCUGCGCUCCAUUCAUAGGAAUAAAUAACCACAAUCAGUUAUUGCUGUUCGGUUGCGGACUCGUUCGGAAUGAAGAUAUGGAUGGUUACACUUGUCUGAUCAAAACCUUCUUGGAGUGCAUGGAUGAACUUGCUCUGAUGAACAUAAUAACAUACCAGGAUUUUAGCAUGCGUGUAGGCAUAUGGGAGGUCUUUCCGUUGGCAGUGCACAGGCACUGCAGGUGGCAUAUUAUUAAAAAGGCUGAGGAGACCCUAGGACCAUUUUUUUGCUGA